AUUCUUGUUCGGUCGAAGGCAUGUCGUUCGUUCGUUCGUUCGUUAGAUUGGCGAAUUUAAUGAAACCCCGUUUAAGUAAUUAAGGAAGCGAAUUCAAUAUGGGAGGAUCUCGAUCUCAUGGGGAAGUGGGGUUUCUCUUGGGGAAAAGCACAAAAUGAUGCAUGCAAUUGACCCGACCUCUUGGGGAAAUCCUCAGUCAAACACGUUCAUCCCGUCUUCUUUUUCUGACAAUGCAUUGCCAUUUGUCAAAUCUAAUCAUGAAAAACAAGGAGGAAGAGGAGGAGGAGGAGGAGGAGAUGGAAAGAAUG
Molecule: long non-coding RNA, 308 nt
Organism: Rhodamnia argentea
Lineage: Eukaryota; Viridiplantae; Streptophyta; Magnoliopsida; Myrtales; Myrtaceae
Exons: 3
Source: RefSeq, a predicted model, not a curated record